GAUGAAGAACGUAGCGAAAUGCGAUAAGUAAUGUGAAUUGCAGAAUUCUGUGAAUCAUCGAAUCUUUGAACGCACAUUGCGCCCGCCAGUAUUCUGGCGGGCAUGCCUGUUCGAGCGUCAUUUCAACCAUCAAGCCCCAGGCUUGUGUUGGAGCCCUGCGGCUGCCGCAGCCUCCCAAAACCAGUGGCGGGCUCGCUAUCACACCGAGUGCAGUAGUUUACUCUUCGCUCAGGGCGUGUGGCGGGUGCUAGCCGUAAAACCCCCAACUUCUCAAGGUUGACCUCGGAUCAGGUAGGAAUACCCGCUGAACUUAAGCAUAUCAAUAAGCGGAGGA
RNAcentral lists this unclassified non-coding RNA (334 nucleotides) under soil metagenome. Its description in RNAcentral is "partial contains 5.8S ribosomal RNA, internal transcribed spacer 2, and large subunit ribosomal RNA". The stretch from base 1 to 120 matches the Rfam family "5.8S ribosomal RNA", at positions 35 to 154 of the family's 154-position model. The record is from RNAcentral.